AUUGAACGCUGGCGGCAGGCUUAACACAUGCAAGUCGAGCGGGGGAAGGUAGCUUGCUACCGGACCUAGCGGCGGACGGGUGAGUAAUGCUUAGGAAUCUGCCUAUUAGUGGGGGACAACAUCUCGAAAGGGAUGCUAAUACCGCAUACGUCCUACGGGAGAAAGCAGGGGAUCUUCGGACCUUGCGCUAAUGGAUGAGCCUAAGUCGGAUUAGCUAGUUGGUGGGGUAAAGGCCUACCAAGGCGACGAUCUGUAGCGGGUCUGAGAGGAUGAUCCGCCACACUGGGACUGGGACACGGCCCAGACUCCUACGGGAGGCAGCAGUGGGGAAUAUUGGACAAUGGGGGGAACCCUGAUCCAGCCAUGCCGCGUGUGUGAAGAAGGCCUUAUGGUUGUAAAGCACUUUAAGCGAGGAGGAGGCUACUCUAGUUAAUACCUAGGGAUAGUGGACGUUACUCGCAGAAUAAGCACCGGCUAACUCUGUGCCAGCCGCCGCCGUAA
Molecule: ribosomal RNA, 501 nt
Filed under: uncultured bacterium
Lineage: Bacteria
Description: partial 16S ribosomal RNA
Rfam family: Bacterial small subunit ribosomal RNA
Source: RNAcentral